Cygnus atratus (black swan) is the source of this 604-nucleotide long non-coding RNA. RefSeq lists it as uncharacterized. The transcript has 4 exons. The record is from RefSeq and is a predicted model, not a curated record. Lineage: Eukaryota; Metazoa; Chordata; Aves; Anseriformes; Anatidae.
GGCAGCAGCAGCAGCAGCGGCGGCAGCAGCAGCCCGGGCCGGCCCCGCGCCGCCUCCAUCUUGCGACCCGGGAACGAAAACAAAAGUUCUUCAGACUAGGAGAGAGGGAAACUUGACGAGCGCUCAAACCCACGGGCAAAGAGGAACGCACCGGGUCUCCGGGUCCUUGUAUUUCACGAGUUCAGCUGGAAGAGACCUUCAGACAACAUUGAGUCCGACUGCCUGACCACUUCAGGGAUCCGUGACUCAAAUCGACUCAUUGUGCAGUGAGUACCAGGGCUUGACCCAGAAAGAGAUGAAAAUUGUGCGGCCUGAAGUCAUAGAACCACAGAAUCGUUAAGGUUGGAAAAGACCUCCAAGAUCGUCUGGUCCAACCAUCCUCCUACCACCAGUGUCACCCACUAAACCAUGUCCCUGAGCACCACGUCUAACCUUAAACACCCCCAGGGACUGUGACUCUACCACCUCCCUGGGCAACCCAUUCCAAUGCCUGACUAUUUCUGAGAAGAAGUGUAUCAAUAUUAUGAAAAUAUGAAGCCAUCGGUUCAUACACUUCCUUAUGAUAAUAUUGCAUAUUGAUUAUAGCAGUAUCAUGCUAUUAAUA